This is a long non-coding RNA of Phyllopteryx taeniolatus (common seadragon), 1759 nucleotides long. RefSeq lists it as uncharacterized. The record is from RefSeq and is a predicted model, not a curated record. Lineage: Eukaryota; Metazoa; Chordata; Actinopteri; Syngnathiformes; Syngnathidae. The transcript is spliced from 3 exons.
ACAAAUGAAAAAUCCAAUUUGAUCAUUUGAAAACUCUCUUCAACCGGACAGAGAGGACACUGACGCGUUUUGACUGCCGUAAUGGACGCCUCCUUCCACGGAGAUCUCGCUGGAAGGCUCUCGCGACAACUGCAUACGUACGCAGACACCACGCACAAGAAGCAGUCCUCCAGCUGUGAGAGCGAGGGUCCAGAGCUUUGAGCGGGCGCCGGUCCCGUGGCCGGAGGGGCAGCCGCUGCUGGGGCGGACGCGGGAGACGGCGGCAGAGAAGUGGAGCGGCACGGCGGCGGAGGCGGCGUCUUGGAACGUAGCGGGAGAUCUCGUACUCGCUGGGCCCCUCCCGUUUGGCUGCGGUGCCCUCCACGUCCGGUCUACCCGAGGACGAACCGUCCUCCAGGCUCAGCAAACGGCCGCUGUUGUGGGAAUAAGAGCGGAUAGCGAUCAGCGGCUGUCUCCGUCCCUGACCUUCAAAACACAUCUGUGAAGUGUGUGUGUGUGUGUGUGUGUGUGUGUGCGCGCAUGUGCGUGCUUAUGUUUGUGAGAGGAGCAGCAGGUGGGAAAUGAUUGCGAUGGCCGGAGGCAGAGCAGGACACAAUUUCAUCACAGUUUGCAGCAGGAAUUCAUUUAAAUCUACUCUCAAGACUCUAUUGUGAUAUUGUCAUCAUAUAUAUAAUAUUGUUUAAUUAUGUACAAUUAUGAAUUAUCUAUUUUAUCUAUAUUUUGGCUGGGAAUAAAUGGUUACGUCCCAUCUGGACUGACCGUUCUUAUCUUUUGCGUAGGCCAUUAUAUUUAAACUGGUGCAGCAUGGUGUACUAGUGGUUAGCAUGUCUGCCACACAUUUCUGUCGCUAGGCAAGAUUAGUCAUGUUUGACUCUUGAACCAAUGGAAAAAUAAGACAUGAAGCAAACCUAGGCAUCGACAGCCUCGAGAAACUUCACUUCAAAAACAGCACUAUAGGGAGAUUGUUUCGACGCGCUCUGUAUUAAACAUAAAAUACAUAGUGGAAACAAUGGCCCAGUUGCAAAGUUAGUGCUAUGGUGUGUGAACUCGCUGUGUUCCUAGCAUGAAUUGUAGCAAGAGAACGAGAAUGUCUGCAUGCGCUUGCAAGACAAUAUCGUCAAAGUCAAACAUGACUUUAAGAUAACUUCAUCAGCCUCUGCAGAUAUUUUGCAAACAAUCAUUUGCUAGAAGUACAAUAUAUAUAUAUAUAUAUAUAUAUAUAUACACACACACACAGUGCAUGCAGCGUCAACAUGGUUUAUCAUGGCUCCCUUCAAUAAUUCCCUGUUUUUUAAUCCCAGCUCCUGUCCACCGUUGGACAAACAUUGCUCUUUUACACGACAUUACCACUGAAAAUCUGCCAAAGGUGAAUUGAGGGCAGCAAAAAGCCAUAUCAAUCCCGUAUUGAUUUUGUUUUUUUGUUUUUUUUAACUAAAAUUUAAUUGUGUGACAUGCUUUUGUCAAAAUAUCCCAGGGAUUGAGAAUUAUAACAGUCUUUACACCUGCUUUUUUUUAGGGUGUUUCGAGGGAGCGGUUCUGUCUCAUGCAAAUGAGCUACAGCUAACUCCGCCACCGCGACAGCAGGGCCAAAGCCAUGUGGCUACAAAUUGCUUGAGCAAGCAUUAAGAAAGAAAAAGUAUGCAUUUCAUUUUGACUCGUGGAGGCAACAUGUCAUCACAGAGCUGCCCAAUUCGCUAUAUGCGGAACGCCACGUGACCAACGCUGAACACAGGAUAGCCGACUUAAAAUUUAAAAAAAA